GGAUACCAGGCAAUUCUUGAUGAAAGAGAGGCAGCAUUCGAGGCAUCACAGAAAUAAGACUGAUACCGAAUGUUUCGGGAUUGUGGGAGCACGUAGUGCAGAACAAUCUGCAGGUAUCA
This 119-nucleotide unclassified non-coding RNA is filed under the name Anaerobium acetethylicum. Its description in RNAcentral is "Clostridiales-1 RNA". The record is from RNAcentral. Lineage: Bacteria; Bacillati; Bacillota; Clostridia; Lachnospirales; Lachnospiraceae.